Non-coding RNA from Pelobates cultripes (western spadefoot toad), 364 nucleotides. NCBI's taxonomy places the organism in Eukaryota, Metazoa, Chordata, Amphibia, Anura, Pelobatidae. The record is from the annotation of a GenBank genome assembly.
CUUAAUAAUAAAAAGUCCACAGAGCACCUGACGCGUUUCGGCAAUAAGCCUUCAUCCGAGGUGAUUCUCAUGAUCCAUGGCAUGCUGUUUUAUAUGUUGUUCUCUCGCGCCCUUUUUCGCCGCAUUCGCGGCACUUUACUUCCGGGUCCGACGUCGAGACGCAUCCUGCGUCAUCACGUCCCGACGUCUAUCCUCACUUCCGGUUGGGGAACAUAUUAGGACGUAUCAGAAACGUCAUUGAAAACGGAGCUUCCUUCAAUUAUAUUGCUCCUAACUUUUAAACGUCCAAAGCAGUAAAAUUGCAACAUUCUUAUUAGAGAGAAAAAUAUAGAUAAUACAAUCAUUAAAAACAGAUAAAGAUAAU